UACGUAGGGGGCAAGCGUUGUCCGGAAUCAUUGGGCGUAAAGAGCUCGUAGGCGGCUCGUUGCGUCAGCUGUGAAAACCCGCAGCUCAACUGUGGGCUUGCAGCUGAUACGGGCGGGCUAGAAUUCGGUAGGGGAGACUGGAAUUCCUGGUGUAGCGGUGAAAUGCGCAGAUAUCAGGAGGAACACCGGUGGCGAAGGCGGGUCUCUGGGCCGAUAUUGACGCUGAGGAGCGAAAGCGUGGGGAGCGAACAGG
Molecule: ribosomal RNA, 253 nt
Filed under: uncultured bacterium
Lineage: Bacteria
Description: partial 16S ribosomal RNA
Rfam family: Bacterial small subunit ribosomal RNA
Source: RNAcentral